This 517-nucleotide ribosomal RNA is filed under the name uncultured fungus. Its description in RNAcentral is "eukaryotic LSU rRNA". The stretch from base 175 to 328 matches the Rfam family "5.8S ribosomal RNA". The record is from RNAcentral. Lineage: Eukaryota; Fungi.
ACAGUAGUCGCCCGGGUUGCCGCAAGGCCUCCCGGGUAACCUACCACCCUUUGUUUAUUACACUUUGUUGCUUUGGCAAGCCUGCCCUCGGGCUGCUGGCUCCGGCCGGCGAGCGCUUGCCAGAGGACCUAAACUCUGUUUGUCUAUACUGUCUGAGUACUAUAUAAUAGUUAAAACUUUCAACAACGGAUCUCUUGGUUCUGGCAUCGAUGAAGAACGCAGCGAAAUGCGAUAAGUAAUGUGAAUUGCAGAAUUCAGUGAAUCAUCGAAUCUUUGAACGCACAUUGCGCCCCCUGGUAUUCCGGGGGGCAUGCCUGUCCGAGCGUCAUUACAACCCUCAAGCUCAGCUUGGUGUUGGGCCCCGCCGCCCCGGCGGGCCCUAAAGUCAGUGGCGGUGCCGUCCGGCUCCGAGCGUAGUAAUUCUUCUCGCUCUGGAGGUCCGGUCGUGUGCUCGCCAGCAACCCCCAAUUUUUUUCAGGUUGACCUCGGAUCAGGUAGGGAUACCCGCUGAACUUAA